AGAGAAUGAAAGGAUGGGAAUGGAAAGAAUGAAAAUUAUCACACUACAACUGUUGCUCUUCUAUACUGCUUGGACCGAAGGUUCUACUACUGAAUACAAGAUAAGUUUCUGGAUGAGAUCCGCUGAAGAAAAAGUUUAUCCACUGGUUAUUGUCACUGGAACUAAUGGAAAAACAGUGGAACAACAGUGUGAAGCAAACUUGUCAGCACCUAAGAAGAUUUCAGCAUGUACCAUAAAGACUGAAACUGAUAUUGGAACAUUUGAAUGUCUGAUUGUAAGAAUCAUUCAUUGUCAAUUCUGUCGCUUGACAUACCAAAUGGCGACAGUUGAGAUAUCCGGCAUAAAUGAGACCCAAUACUAUUUCCCGCGUUUUGGGAUUGACUCUUUGUCUCGUACCGAUGGAAAUCAAACAGUGUGUUUUACAGACAAGUUUGACGAUCCAGAGCAAAAGUGGUAUCCAAAUAGACGCCGGGGGUCUGAUUAUGGUGGUUUUGAUGGAAGUUUUUGGUACUGGCUCCAAUUGAUGUUUAUACCACCUUUCUUUGCACUUUUGAUAAUGAUUUUUUCCUUUGUUGCCUGUGCACGGGGAAGAGUAUGUGGCUGUUGCAACAGAGGUAAAAGGAGCACUAUCACCGUGCAAGUGGCCUAAUUGCUCUGAUUUCUUAGUCUGAAAACCGUUUAUCGGUAACUAUUAACUGGUAACUGGUAACUGGUAACUGGUAACUGGUAACUGGUAACUGGUAACUGGUAACUGGUAACUGGUAACUGGUAACUGUAACUGGUAACUGGUAACUGUAACUGGUAACUGGUAACUGUAACUGGUUACCAUAUCAAAGACCUCUGAAUAGCUGAAAAGUAAUCACAAUGAGGUCAUUUGAACUAUAAAACCACUUACAACCCUUACUUUUCAACCAAUAUACCCUUUGAGGCUUUCAUGCAUGAUGCUUGGUCAUGAUAUAUCAUUGUUAUUAAUCAUUGUAAAUUCUUUUUACACAGGAUAGCACAGGUUUUUUUCACAGAAUAAAAAUAAAAAUAAUUGGCCCACCAUCGUGGACUGUAGUAAUUAUACAC
Bolinopsis microptera is the source of this 1071-nucleotide long non-coding RNA. RefSeq lists it as uncharacterized. Lineage: Eukaryota; Metazoa; Ctenophora; Tentaculata; Lobata; Bolinopsidae. The record is from RefSeq and is a predicted model, not a curated record. The transcript is spliced from 4 exons.